Long non-coding RNA from Ruditapes philippinarum (Manila clam), 1278 nucleotides. RefSeq lists it as uncharacterized. The record is from RefSeq and is a predicted model, not a curated record. The transcript has 4 exons. NCBI's taxonomy places the organism in Eukaryota, Metazoa, Mollusca, Bivalvia, Venerida, Veneridae.
CAAGAUGCACAGAUCUGUACAAACGUGAGUCUAGCAUGUGGCUGGUGUCAUGAUGCCAGCAACACAGGUUUAGACAAGUGUAUUUGUGGGACGGCAUAUGACAUUGUAUUCAAGGACAAUAGCACAUUAAAAUACCAAGCAGAUAGAUGGUGAUUUUAUGAAAUGUCCAUGACCUCUUUUCUUGAUGGAAAGAUUUAAGAUGUAUUGCCUGCCAGCAUCCGGGAAUCGUUAAAUGGAAAUUAGGAAACAGAGUGUUGAUGUCUGGACUAUUCUUCUGUUGUGAAGUUUAAGAUAUAAUACUUUUAUAAAAAAAGACUUACCUAUACAGAUCAAUUGAGAGACACAAACUUCUGGGAGGACAGUGAAUUGGCAUUUGUUUUUCUCAACAUGAAAAUGGAAUGAGACAUUCUAUUGGACUAAUUGAUGACACUUUAAACUGGAGGGAUCCAGAAAUCUACAACAAUGAGAAAUUCAUCAAUAGAAGUUCAGUGAUAAACUCCAGUAGCAAGUGUUCAAGGAAUUCAGAAACAAUAAUUUAGUGUUCCAACUCCAGUGAUAAACUCCAGUAGCAGGUGUUCAAGGAGUUCAGAAUCAAUAAUAUAGUGUUCCAACUCCAGUGAUAAACUCCAGUAGCAGGUGUUCAAGGAGUUCAGAAUCAGUAAUAUAGUGUUCCAACUCCAGUGAUAAACUCCAGUAACAGGUGUUCAAGGAAUUCAGAAUCAGUUAUAUCAUAGUGUUCCAACUCCAGUGAUAAACUCCAGUAGCAGGUGUUCAAGGAAUUCAGAAUCAGUUAUAUCAUAGUGUUCCAACUCCAGUGAUAAACUCCAGUAACAGGUGUUCAAGGAAUUCAGAAUCAGUUAUAUCAUAGUGUUCCAACUCCAGUGAUAAACUCCAGUAACAGGUGUUCAAGGAAUUCAGAAUCAGUUAUAUCAUAGUGAUCCAACUCCAGUGAUAAACUCCAGUAACAGGUGUUCAAGGAAUUCAGAAUCAGUUAUAUCAUAGUGAUCCAACUCCAGUGAUAAACUCCAGUAACAGGUGUUCAAGGAAUUCAGAAUCAGUUAUUCCCUGCGGUCUGGAGACCGCAGGGUAUUGGUACGCGUGUAACUUUUGAGGCACGGAGGAGCACGUGACCUGUUUUCGGUACAUGGAGGAGCAUGUGAUCGGUAAACCGUAUAUGAUUGGUUAAUUGACCUUUUCUAAAACCCAGCUAAAUACCGUUUGCCGGUACGUUACGGAUUUACCUCUAGGGAAUGUAGUUCGAAUUACACCUAAUUAAGA